RNAcentral lists this ribosomal RNA (632 nucleotides) under Enterobacter hormaechei. RNAcentral describes it as "partial 23S ribosomal RNA". It matches the Rfam family "Bacterial large subunit ribosomal RNA", at positions 2190 to 2821 of the family's 2925-position model. The record is from RNAcentral. RNAcentral also lists the same sequence under 1 other name. Lineage: Bacteria; Pseudomonadati; Pseudomonadota; Gammaproteobacteria; Enterobacterales; Enterobacteriaceae.
CCUUGAAAUACCACCCUUUAAUGGCUGGUGUUCUAACGUAGACCCGUAAUCCGGGUUGCGGACAGUGUCUGGUGGGUAGUUUGACUGGGGCGGUCUCCUCCCAAAGAGUAACGGAGGAGCACGAAGGUUGGCUAAUCCUGGUCGGACAUCAGGAGGUUAGUGCAAUGGCAUAAGCCAGCUUGACUGCGAGCGUGACGGCGCGAGCAGGUGCGAAAGCAGGUCAUAGUGAUCCGGUGGUUCUGAAUGGAAGGGCCAUCGCUCAACGGAUAAAAGGUACUCCGGGGAUAACAGGCUGAUACCGCCCAAGAGUUCAUAUCGACGGCGGUGUUUGGCACCUCGAUGUCGGCUCAUCACAUCCUGGGGCUGAAGUAGGUCCCAAGGGUAUGGCUGUUCGCCAUUUAAAGUGGUACGCGAGCUGGGUUUAGAACGUCGUGAGACAGUUCGGUCCCUAUCUGCCGUGGGCGCUGGAGAAUUGAGGGGGGCUGCUCCUAGUACGAGAGGACCGGAGUGGACGCAUCACUGGUGUUCGGGUUGUCAUGCCAAUGGCACUGCCCGGUAGCUAAAUGCGGAAGAGAUAAGUGCUGAAAGCAUCUAAGCACGAAACUUGCCCCGAGAUGAGUUCUCCCUGAGAC